UUAGCCCUAAACACAAAUAAUUACAGAAACAAAAUUAUUCGCCAGAGUACUACCGGCAACAGCCCGAAACUCAAAGGACUUGGCGGUGCUUUAUACCCUUCUAGAGGAGCCUGUUCUAUAAUCGAUAAACCCCGAUAAACCUCACCAAUCCUUGCUAAUACAGUCUAUAUACCGCCAUCUUCAGCAAACCCUAAAAAGGAACAAAAGUAAGCUCAAUCACAACACAUAAAGACGUUAGGUCAAGGUGUAACCCAUGGAAUGGGAAGAAAUGGGCUACAUUUUCUACCUUAAGAAAAUUAAUACGAAAGCCAUUAUGAAAUUAAUGACCAAAGGAGGAUUUAGUAGUAA
RNAcentral lists this ribosomal RNA (348 nucleotides) under Capra hircus (goat). RNAcentral describes it as "partial small subunit ribosomal RNA". It matches the Rfam family "Bacterial small subunit ribosomal RNA", at positions 796 to 1341 of the family's 1533-position model. The record is from RNAcentral. Lineage: Eukaryota; Metazoa; Chordata; Mammalia; Artiodactyla; Bovidae.